Molecule: ribosomal RNA, 420 nt
Filed under: uncultured bacterium
Lineage: Bacteria
Description: partial 16S ribosomal RNA
Rfam family: Bacterial small subunit ribosomal RNA
Source: RNAcentral
GAAUUUUGGACAAUGUGCGAAAGACUGAUCCAGCAUUCCUGCGUGCAGGAUGAAGCCUUUCGGGUUUUAAACUGCUUUUGUACGGAACGAAAAUCUUUUGUUUAAUACCCUGGAGUAAUGACGGUACUGUAAGAAUAAGCGCCGGCUAGCUAUUUGCCAGCAGCCGCGGUAAUACGUAGGGUGCAAGCGUUAAUCGGAAUUACUGGGCGUAAAGCGUGCGCAGGCGGUUUUGUAAGACGGGGGUGAAAUCCCCGGGCUCAAGCUGGGAACUGCCUUUGUGACUGCAAGGCUAGAGUACGGGAGAGGGGGGUGGAAUUCCGCGUGUAGCAGUGAAAUGCGUAGAUAUGCGGAGGAACACCGAUGGCGAAGGCAACCCCCUGGGCCUGUACUGACGCUCAUGCACGAAAGCGUGGGAGCAAA